GAGUUUGAUCUUGGCUCAGAAUGAACGCUAGCGGGAGGCCUAACACAUGCAAGCCGAGCGGUAUGAUUCUUUCGGGAAUCAGAGAGCGGCGUACGGGUGCGGAACACGUGUGCAACCUGCCUUUAUCUGGGGGAUAGCCUUUCGAAAGGAAGAUUAAUACCCCAUAAUAUAUUGAAUGGCAUCAUUUGAUAUUGAAAACUCCGGUGGAUAAAGAUGGGCACGCGCAAGAUUAGAUAGUUGGUGGGGUAACGGCCUACCAAGUCAGUGAUCUUUAGGGGGCCUGAGAGGGUGAUCCCCCACACUGGUACUGAGACACGGACCAGACUCCUACGGGAGGCAGCAGUGAGGAAUAUUGGACAAUGGGUGCAAGCCUGAUCCAGCCAUCCCGCGUGAAGGACGACGGCCCUAUGGGUUGUAAACUUCUUUUGUAUAGGGAUAAACCUAGAUACGUGUAUCUAGCUGAAGGUACUAUACGAAUAAGCACCGGCUAACUCCGUGCCAGCAGCCGCAGUAAC
This 515-nucleotide ribosomal RNA is filed under the name uncultured Flavobacterium sp. RNAcentral's name for it is "bacterial SSU rRNA". It matches the Rfam family "Bacterial small subunit ribosomal RNA", at positions 9 to 524 of the family's 1533-position model. Lineage: Bacteria; Pseudomonadati; Bacteroidota; Flavobacteriia; Flavobacteriales; Flavobacteriaceae. The record is from RNAcentral.